RNAcentral lists this long non-coding RNA (342 nucleotides) under Homo sapiens (human). RNAcentral's name for it is "HSALNT0335869". The record is from RNAcentral. Lineage: Eukaryota; Metazoa; Chordata; Mammalia; Primates; Hominidae.
CUGAGAGUUCCCCAGGAGCAGAUGCCACUAUGAUUCCAGUAUAGCCUCCAGAACCGUAGCUGAUCUAGGAAUGCAGCCUGAAGAAAUCAGCACCUCCUAGAUACAGAAUGAACAGAAGGGCUCAGAAGAAAUAUGAGGACAAAUAGGUAUGCUAGACUGAGGCAGAAGAGGCUUGAAUAUUGACUUCAUCUUUUAAGAUAACUCCCCAGAUCUCCAGUUGGUUGAAUGUGUGCAUGUAGAACCCACAGACACAGAGGAUGGGCUACAUUAUGUAGCGUCAGUGAUGGCUUCAUAGAAGAGUUGGCUUUGGUAUCAGGAUGAUGCUGGCCUCAUAAAAUGAGU